AACGAGAUAGUUUAGUGGUUAGAACGAUGGAAUCAUAAAUCAUAUAUCGUGGGUUCAAAUCCCUCUCUCGUUA
This 73-nucleotide transfer RNA is filed under the name Proteromonas lacertae. RNAcentral's name for it is "tRNA-Met". It matches the Rfam family "tRNA". From Rfam's summary of the family: Transfer RNA (tRNA) molecules are approximately 80 nucleotides in length. Their secondary structure includes four short double-helical elements and three loops (D, anti-codon, and T loops). The record is from RNAcentral. Lineage: Eukaryota; Bigyra; Opalinata; Proteromonadidae.